This 253-nucleotide ribosomal RNA is filed under the name uncultured bacterium. Its description in RNAcentral is "partial 16S ribosomal RNA". It matches the Rfam family "Bacterial small subunit ribosomal RNA", at positions 524 to 776 of the family's 1533-position model. The record is from RNAcentral.
UACGUAGGGUCCGAGCGUUGUCCGGAAUUAUUGGGCGUAAAGGGCUCGUAGGCGGUCUGUUGCGUCGGGAGUGAAAACUUACAGCUUAACUGUGAGCGUGCUUCCGAUACGGGCAGACUUGAGGUAUUCAGGGGAGAACGGAAUUCCUGGUGUAGCGGUGAAAUGCGCAGAUAUCAGGAGGAACACCGGUGGCGAAGGCGGUUCUCUGGGCAUGAUCUGACGCUGAGGAGCGAAAGUGUGGGGAGCGAACAGG